UACAGAGGGGGCAAGCGUUAUUCGGAAUUAUUGGGCGUAAAGGGCGCGUAGGCGGCCUGGCAAGUGGAAGGUGAAAUCCCUCGGCUUAACCGAGGAACUGCCCUCCAAACUGCUUGGCUUGAGUCCGGGAGAGGUGAGUGGAAUUCCCAGUGUAGCGGUGAAAUGCGUAGAUAUUGGGAGGAACACCAGUGGCGAAGGCGGCUCUCUGGGCCCUACCUGACGCUGAGACGCGAAAGCGUGGGGAGCGAACCGG
This 253-nucleotide ribosomal RNA is filed under the name uncultured bacterium. RNAcentral describes it as "partial 16S ribosomal RNA". It matches the Rfam family "Bacterial small subunit ribosomal RNA", at positions 524 to 776 of the family's 1533-position model. The record is from RNAcentral.